This is a non-coding RNA of Peromyscus maniculatus bairdii (prairie deer mouse), 732 nucleotides long. Lineage: Eukaryota; Metazoa; Chordata; Mammalia; Rodentia; Cricetidae. The record is from RefSeq and is a predicted model, not a curated record.
GCUAAGCCACUAGUUAGCCAUAGAGGCCAGGCAGUGGUAGCACACACCUUGGAUCCUAGCCCUUGGAAUCUCACACUUUUAAUUCCAGCACUAGAGAGGUGGAGACAAGAAGUGAAAUGGCUGGGCAAAGAGAGGAAUAUAAGGCAGGAGGAGAUAGGAGCUCAGCUCCCUUUCAGGCUGAGAACUCAGUAGAGAACACUGUACAAAACAAACUGGCAGUUGGCACCACAGAGUCAAGACUAUAACAACAUAUUACAGCAGUGUGAAAAAGCUCCUCUCCCGAGACUUGGUCCCCAGAAAGCAGAUUUCCUGGAAAAAGAUACAACAAUCCAGAGCUGCCAAAAAUUCACUGUGAGAUGGGAGUUCAUCUGUUUGCAAUUAAUACAUAACUCAUUUCACUCAGAUAACUCUGGUAACCUACAAUACCACAGCAAUUCUUACAGCAAGGAGACACAAUGGUGAACUGUCUUGCCUACCAAAAGUACAUUAGUUUUGCUUUAACACCAAGAAAAUGUAAGUUCUGAGAAACAUAACUCUGAAUUUGCCUGAUGACAAAAAUCAGUAAUGAAUUAUGCAGUACCCGUUCCCAAGCACAUACUAGAGGGCUGAUAUACAAAACAGCCCUCUUUGGCCUACCUCAGCCCUCCAGAACAGACUGGCAGACCUCUGGCUCUACACUGUGUAGGAGGGACCUACAUCAGAUUCAAACACAGCAGCAACAGGACUUACCAC